This 327-nucleotide ribosomal RNA is filed under the name uncultured eukaryote. RNAcentral describes it as "partial 18S ribosomal RNA". It matches the Rfam family "Eukaryotic small subunit ribosomal RNA", at positions 1470 to 1796 of the family's 1831-position model. The record is from RNAcentral.
CCCUUAGAUGUUCUGGGCCGCACGCGCGCUACACUGAUUCAUGCAACAAGUUUUGUCCUUGGCUGAUAGGCCUGGGUAAUCUUUGAACGUGAAUCGUGAUGGGGAUAGAUGAUUGCAAUUAUUCAUCUUCAACGAGGAAUUCCUAGUAAACGCAAGUCAUCAGCUUGCAUUGAUUACGUCCCUGCCCUUUGUACACACCGCCCGUCGCACCUACCGAUUGAAUGGUCCGGUGAAACCUUCGGAUCUGAGAGAUGUCUGAUUAAUUUCGGACGCCUUUUGGAAAAGUUGUUUAAACCUUACCAUUUAGAGGAAGGUGAANUCGUANCA